GGGGGCUUGUAGUGGGAAAGGUAAUGUAUAGUGAAGAUGAAACUCAUGCAUAUCCUUUGCUGUAGACUGAAGCUUAUGGACAGAUGGGUGGAUAGAUGGCAUUUCGCUGCCUCCAUAUUUAUAUCCUGGAACAUAGGGCCUUCCUCACUCCGGACAUCCCAGCUGCUGCACCCCUGGCCUACUCCGCGUGAGACAGGUCAACGCAGAGUCCCCUCUAGUGGCUGACUUGCCUGGAGAAAGAGUGCAAAGGGAAACUUGUUUGGCUGCUUUUUAUUUCUGGAGAUCUCCCUUUAGCUGGAAAAGGCAUCGGUGAUGGGGGGGCCUCAGUAAAUAGAGCUGUCUGAACUAGCAGGCCGUUUAAAUUCUAAUACAGCAAUUUAAUGAACUCUUGUCUUUAAUUCCUGUGACGUGGAGAAGACAGCCAUUCUCUCCCCAUAAAGGAGCUUGUUAACCCAUCUCUUCACUGACUGGAGCUUUUAUUAUUAUGAUGACGACUGGAGAACUUAUUAUGUUAAAAUAACAGGUUUCCCAAGUGCCUGGCAGAGAAGGGGGUUCCUAAUGAUGCUGAUCUUCUGUAGGAAUCACAGUGGCCACUGGCUUAUGUGGCACAGGCAUUAUUAUGUCCGCACUUGCUGAAGGACCAUGUGUGAAGACCUGGUGCUUGUUGUCCUAGAUUAUUGGGGCGGCGGAGGGUGAAGCAGCAGGCACACAUAGUGGCCGUGAGGGCAGGUGAGGGCUCUGCUAGCCGGGAUGCAGCUGCCAGUGUGGAGGCCACAACCAGCGGGAGGCCCCUGUGUGUAGCUGUGAUGCUGGAGUCAUUGUGCCCAGUUUAUCACACACCUCAUGAAAAUAUAAUCUGCCACCAAAAUGACUGCUUUUGGAAACUGUCUUGUCUCUUUUGAGUUGAGACUGGAGACAACCAGACAAGGUUCGGUGGUAACAAAUAAAGAAACAUUACUUUCCGAACACAAUCUUCUGUUACCAGUCACUUUUCAACAGACAUUCAAUCAAAAUGCUAAUAGCGACAGCAGCCAGGGAACAUGGUUAUUGUAAUACUAAUUGAUUGGUUGGAGGGUGGGUUUUGGUAAGUGCGGCUUAAGAUUUCAGAAAUAUGAUUCUCUUUAAUUACAGCGACACUAAUAAAAAUGAGCAAAUGAUUUAAUGGUGAUUUCCUGGGUAAUGGCUUAAUGAUUUUGAGUUUAAAAUGAGAUAUGGUGGAAAUGCCCCAGAAAAAGAGGGCCCUGGUGGGUGGCCUUGCCUUUAUCAAACUCAGGCCAAGCGUCAAGUCCAGAAUGCCCUUGGCAGGCUAUGUGGAAGGUGCAUAGUCAAGAGUGCUGGAGGCCCCUCCCAGCCUGCCGGGGAUGGUGAGGCAGUGGGUACAUUCCAGCUUGAAGUCACUGGUAUUUCCAGAGUCAGGACUGGGUUGCAUGUGGGCAGCCACGUGUUUGCUGUGGGUUUUCCCAGUUGGCCAGGGGCAGAGCGACCCCCACUCUACUAACAGAGACACAUCCUGUGCUCCAGGCUCUUGCCUUUCGUGCUCUAGCCCCAUGACCACUCUGUGCUGGGCAUCCUCUGUGUUCUAGUUGAAGCAGUUCUGCAGAGAACAAGGCUGGCCAAAGCCUAGCCCUCCUGAGCUGAUCAUCUUUGGGGAGAAGGAACACAGAUCAUGUGAUUUCAGGUCCGUAACCAAGGAAGCUAUGUCAGAGGAUUGCUGACUUUCCAGAAAGUGCUGCACUGCCCCAGGGCUGCAGCUGACAACCCCCUCCCACCUUUGGUUUUCAGACUUAUUUUGCUAAGAAGAAUGAGCAGAGAGGAGUGGCAUUUCUCACAACCCCAUCCCAUGUCCCGCCGGUGCUCGGGGAUGGAGCCUGCCUGCUGCUGGAGUGGGGAGCUGACGAAAUAUUUAAAUAAAGGCUCUGGGAAAAGGA
This is a long non-coding RNA of Manis pentadactyla (Chinese pangolin), 1928 nucleotides long. RefSeq lists it as uncharacterized. NCBI's taxonomy places the organism in Eukaryota, Metazoa, Chordata, Mammalia, Pholidota, Manidae. The record is from RefSeq and is a predicted model, not a curated record. The transcript is spliced from 2 exons.